Molecule: long non-coding RNA, 577 nt
Filed under: Homo sapiens (human)
Lineage: Eukaryota; Metazoa; Chordata; Mammalia; Primates; Hominidae
Description: HSALNT0152970
Source: RNAcentral
GCCAUAUUGUCAGCAGGCUCACCUCUAGAUUGCAGCAGGCAGCCUGGGAUGCCCACGCCUGCCAAGGAUCCCUCAGCUGAACAAUUGAACAGAGAAGAGGUGGGGGCUUCCAGUGACCCAGGGACUGUUUGGACCAGGCCACAGAUCUAAGAGACCUUCUCACACUGCAAACCUCUUUUCCUGUGUGCCACCGGGGAUGUGUACCUGGGGCUUGAGCCCCUGCCUGAGCUCUGGAUCAGAGAGAGCCUGCUCCUGCACCUUGUCUGAAAUGGAACAGGGGUGACAGAUGAGCAGAGGAUCAAUAGCCAUCUGUCCAGGCUCCACUGACAAGCUAAUCUUUUCAGUAAACAUUUCAUUAGCUCCUGCCAGUCUGCUGCACCUGCUGACAGGAGAGGCCAAACGGAGUAGGGGGAGGGGAACCUCCGCUUUAUGGUAGGGCUCCAAUGGCAGCAGGGGUCUCCUGGCCCCUGAGAGCUAGUUAAGCUCAGCUGGAAUACCCCUGCCACGCACUGGAGGAAUCCGGAUCAUCCCCAAGAUUUUUGUAUUUGAAGGGACUUUUAAAAUCAUUUAACCCAAG